AGUGUAUCCUUAUUUAUAUACAGAAAGUUACCCUAGGAUUGUUAGGUUAAGUUACGUUGAGUUAGUAACAUAUACUCUCAAAGAUAGGAGAAUAAAGAGGGCGUCAAGUCACGUUCGUGGUAUUUUUUUCAACAAUACUCGCCGUGUGGUGGCCAGUGGUCAGAAAGCGUCAGUCGUUGGAACAGGUGGAGUAACUCCUUCAUUGCUGGACUAUUUCGUCGUUUGUAUUGAAGCCUCUGGCUUAUCUACUGUGUUUUGAUGGAUUAUUGAAGUGAAUGAUAAUAGAGACUUUAGAAAUAACUGACAUUAUUGGUAUAUAAACGGUGGUGAUGUGUCAACAAACAGGACCCAAACACCGACAGGCUGUACACAAGUCUCCUGCAGAUGAUGAUUGAUCCUCCACUGGCAAUUUCAUUUGGACACUGUAAGGAGGAUAAGAAGAAGUGUGGGAUAUUGUACAGAGGAUUACAAAAUAGUUUGGUGGUCUGAAGAUUAGAGAAAAGGGCAGUGUCCAAAGGAAAGGCUGCAG
Long non-coding RNA from Homarus americanus (American lobster), 529 nucleotides. RefSeq lists it as uncharacterized. The transcript is spliced from 3 exons. NCBI's taxonomy places the organism in Eukaryota, Metazoa, Arthropoda, Malacostraca, Decapoda, Nephropidae. The record is from RefSeq and is a predicted model, not a curated record.